UAAGACGAACCGUACGAACGUUAUUCGGAAUCACUGGGCUUAAAGGGUGCGUAGGCGGCGAUAAAAGUUGGGUGUGAAAUCCCUCGGCUCAACCGAGGAACUGCGCCCAAAACUGUAUUGCUCGAGGGAGAUAGAGGUGAGCGGAACUUAGGGUGGAGCGGUGAAAUGCGUUGAUAUCCUAAGGAACGCCAGGGGCGAAAGCGGCUCACUGGAUCUCUUCUGACGCUGAGGCACGAAAGCUAGGGUAGCGAACGGGAUUAGAUACCCCGGUAGUCCUAGCCGUAAACGAUGAGUACUAGAUGGAAGGGUCCUCCAUAGCCUUUCCAUCGAAGCGAAAGUGUUUAGUACUCCGCCUGGGGAGUAUGGUCGCAAGGCUG
This 377-nucleotide ribosomal RNA is filed under the name uncultured bacterium. RNAcentral's name for it is "bacterial SSU rRNA". It matches the Rfam family "Bacterial small subunit ribosomal RNA", at positions 521 to 896 of the family's 1533-position model. The record is from RNAcentral.